AGUCCAUAGCAGCGUGGAAGACUAGUGAUUUUGUUGUUUUUGUGGUCAAACUGACAACAAGUCAUUGUCUCCCGCAUUGCUUUGAGACA
This is a non-coding RNA of Xyrichtys novacula (pearly razorfish), 89 nucleotides long. NCBI's taxonomy places the organism in Eukaryota, Metazoa, Chordata, Actinopteri, Labriformes, Labridae. The record is from the annotation of a GenBank genome assembly.